RNAcentral lists this small RNA (714 nucleotides) under Pongo abelii (Sumatran orangutan). RNAcentral describes it as "retained intron". Lineage: Eukaryota; Metazoa; Chordata; Mammalia; Primates; Hominidae. The record is from RNAcentral.
GAUUGGCUGUACGGAAGGCGGCGACGGGGCCGAAGGAGGCCCGUUUGUGUCUAAACGGAGGCUCGGCCACAACGCCACUGGAUUGGUGGUAAGGCGGGGCGGGCCAGAGUCUCCAGCCUGAAGCGGAAGUGGAGGAAAGAUGGAGGACCAUCAGCACGUGCCCAUCGACAUCCAGACCAGCAAGCUGCUCGAUUGGCUGGUGGACAGAAGGCACUGCAGCCUGAAAUGGCAGAGUCUGGUGCUGACGAUCCGCGAGAAGAUCAAUGCUGCCAUCCAGGAUAUGCCAGAGAGCGAAGAGAUCGCCCAGCUGCUGUCUGGGUCCUGUGAGUGCUUAGGGGCUGUCACUGGAGUCCCCUCUUUGCUGAGGUAGUAUGUAUCAGCUGAGCUACUCUCUUGUUAUUUAGCCACCAGGGCUGGCCUGUAGAGAGGGAGCGAUUUUUAUUUGAGGUAUAGAUACUGGCUUCUUGCACUAUGAAAUGAUUAAGGGAAAAGCUACACACUAAAGUUACUGGUAGUAUAUUAUACAUGAAUCAGCCACCUGCAGUGCCCAGAGUAGGUGAGGAAGAUACUUUAGUUCUCAAAAUCCUGUCUCUUGCUUUCUAGACAUUCACUACUUUCACUGCCUAAGAAUCCUGGACCUUCUCAAAGGCACAGAGGCCUCCACGAAAAAUAUUUUUGGCCGAUACUCUUCACAGCGGAUGAAGGAUUGGCAGG